UGGGGAAUAUUGGACAAUGGAGGGAACUCUGAUCCAGCAAUUCUGUGUGUGUGAAGAAGGUUUUAGGACUGUAAAACACUUUUAGUAGGGAAGAAAAAAAUGACGGUACCUACAGAAGAAGCAACGGCUAAAUACGUGCCAGCAGCCGCGGUAAUACGUAUGUUGCGAGCGUUAUCCGGAAUUAUUGGGCUUAAAGGGCAUCUAGGCGGUAAGACAAGUUGAAGGUGAAAACCUGUGGCUCAACCAUAGGCUUGCCUACAAAACUGUUGAACUAGAGUACUGGAAAGGUGGGUGGAACCACACGAGUAGAGGUGAAAUUCGUAGAUAUGUGUAGGAAUGCCGAUGAUGAAGAUAACUCACUGGACAGAAACUGACGCUGAAGUGCGAAAGCUAGGGGAGCAAACAGG
RNAcentral lists this ribosomal RNA (407 nucleotides) under Verrucomicrobiota bacterium. RNAcentral's name for it is "Verrucomicrobia bacterium partial 16S ribosomal RNA". It matches the Rfam family "Bacterial small subunit ribosomal RNA", at positions 355 to 776 of the family's 1533-position model. The record is from RNAcentral. Lineage: Bacteria; Pseudomonadati; Verrucomicrobiota.